UUCCUUGGAAAAGGACAGCUGAGAGGGUGAAACUCCCGUCCGCCUGGUAGAAUGAGUCUUUGUCAACGAGUCGAGUUGUUUGGGAUUGCAGCUCUAAUUUGGUGGUAAGUUCCAUCUAAAGCUAAAUAUUGGUGGGAGACCGAUAGCGUACAAGUACCGUGAGGGAAAGAUGCAAAGAACUUUGAAAAGAGAGUUAAAGAGUACCUGAAAUUGCUGAAACGGAAGCGAAGGAAACCAGUGUUUGUUGGUUCAUAUUUCCUUAGCCACUUGUGGUUUGGGCG
RNAcentral lists this ribosomal RNA (281 nucleotides) under Pseudo-nitzschia fraudulenta. Its description in RNAcentral is "partial 28S ribosomal RNA". It matches the Rfam family "Eukaryotic large subunit ribosomal RNA", at positions 186 to 475 of the family's 3401-position model. The record is from RNAcentral. Lineage: Eukaryota; Bacillariophyta; Bacillariophyceae; Bacillariales; Bacillariaceae.